CUAUAUUAAAGAACAAAAUAUCGAUAACUAUGUGUGACGUUUCUAAGGGGGGGGGGGGGGGNNNNNNNNNNNNNNNNNNNNCGGAGAAACGAACAUAUGACGUUUCCUUCUACUUCCCUACGUUCAUCCGAAGGAAAAUCAUUUUCCUUCUCCUUUCCACUAAGCACAUAUACACAAACAUUGAUGGCAGGCGACGUGCAUGCACUUGUUCGGCAAAAUAAUUUUUAUUAAUUAUUUUUUACAUUUGAUUUAAUUUUGUUUAUGAUAUGGACAUAUAUUUAUCUCUAUUCACUUAUUUCCUAUAAUAGGUAAUGUCUUUGUUAAAGUCAAUCUACUUUCCAAAGAGUCUUGCACAUUACAUGUCUUUCGAGUUAUCAGAUUUCCAUCUGCCUUGAAGUUUAAUUAAGCAAACGAUUCAAAUUAGGAUUGUUCCCUUGAGAAGUUGCCAUGAACAACGCUCCGCCAGAUCGUGAAUUAUGCGUACUGUACUGCUUGGGAUCAAGACCAAUACUAGAUAUAGUCUCCUUCAUGAUUUCACGUAACCUUGUGUAACUAAUACGUUUAGAAGCAAGGGCAGCUGCUGUUUAACCACGACGGGAAGCUUGGAGGUAUCUGAAGAUAUACUCGUCUGAAUUUGGGUGAAUGCUAUAGCUAAAGAAAAUAACGAAGAAGCAAAGCAUGUGGACACAUUUGUCCGUUAGUUUGUGCGAUAAAAACCUGAUUACCAUUGCAAUAGUGGUCGAUCUUACUCGUAGGAACGAAUAGUAUGAGAUUAUCGGGAUUGACAGUCAUGUUCUUCGCCUUGAUGCUGGUUAGCGCGCUGGCACGAAAAAACCCAGAAAAGCCCAGAACGCUCAAAAAUGCCGUACGCAGAUAUUUAAGCUCGAGUCAGGCGUUGGCGUACUUAGCCGCUAUCUUAGCUAAUGUGUCGAUAAAAAUGGGCUACUUAAUUUUUUACGAUGUAGUGUGAUGGGAUCGUUUACCAGCCUCUAUAAUAUUUCGGAUUAAAGGUGUAUCUGUUGGGUUUGAAGCUAGGGGAACAAGAUCAUGAACCCACUAUAUGGCGCAUUGGGAUUAUAGUGUAACCCUAUCCGACUUUUGUGUUUCCAUGAGGUUGGAAAGAUAUUGCACAAUAACCAGGGUAGUGUAGGGAAAUUUUCCAGGGAGUUUGGAUUCCAUCAUGAAGUUGGUAAAUGUUCAGUACUGGGUGAGAUAACUCUGAACCGUAGAACCAGCUCGAGAAUGCAGGACUUGACAAAAUAUUUGUUGUCUUAUAUCCAUAACGGCCACUACCCAACAAGGAGCAGAAACAAGAUCCUGAAAAACACAAAUCUACAGUUAUAUAAAAAUCUCCAAACAUGUUGUAAAACGCGAUGGGCUCUACAGCCACCCGGCAAGUGCAGUCCCCUACUACACAACGAAACAGACAUCUGCCUACUCUUUAGCCAGAGAGUAAUUAGUUACACUGGCCUGUAGGCCAAGUGUCUUAAAUCCCUCUUUUUCUGUUUUUUCCGUACUCGAGAAAUGGAGUUUGCGUUAGCUCAUCGCAGGCUCACCUCGGUGUAUAGUAAUAAGCUCGUAUUUAUGUACUCAAUAGUCGACUCAUGCUUGUGGUACAUUUUUCGUUUAUUAGCCCAUACACUUGUACGCACGCGCACAAUUCCAAACUCCAAUGACGACUUUUCACAGAGUGAUCAAACUAUAUUUUACACAGUUUCGUUGAAUUUGCAAAGAAUUGGGCCGCUUUCCUGUGGACAUCCGUCGUGUACUUGUGUUAAUUUUUGCGUCGCACUCUGGACUUUCUUGCCUGUUGAAUUAAUGUUUUUCUUUUUGUAUUAAAUUAAACGACUCGAAAAUCCCAAAAAUUUCAUAAAUUUAUACCCAGGGAAUUUAUACGAUAUAUUGGAAUAUAAACAAGGACAAAUUCUCCUAAUUCCUUACGAUAAUGUUAGUCAAAUGUCGACAAUAUACCUUUAAAUACAUGUAUACUAUUAAAAUCCGCACAGUACUAAGAAUUAAGAGAAUUCGCGUAGCGCUGGCCGCUGGGUGCGUACUGCGCGAAAAGCUUUGUGGUAGCUAUACUAAAGAUAAAGCGUGCCUUCAAAAUACCAACAAGAACUAGAACCGUUAUUGUAUGGUUCUCAUUUGCCACAAGUCGACCUCGAAGAAACGCAUUUCGUUCGAGGUCGACUUGUGGCAAGUCUACUCAUUUGCCUAAUACAAUAACAUUUACUUCGACGCGAAUUUUAAUACAAGUAUGGUUCAUAUUUCAUAAUAUAACAAACAAUGUAAACUUGCCAUACAUUUUGCCGAACAUAAAUUCGGCCCCUUUGGACAUAUCUUUUUCGUGAUAAUAUUAUUGGGACCAGAAUUGAAAACACUAUUUAUAGUGUUAUUUUCAAGCUUGUGUCUUGGGAUUUUCAUCUUUUAUUUCGGUAUUUACAGAAUAUUUAUAUUUUUAGCGCGGCGAUCAAAACAACGCGCUGUUUAGGAAAAACCGGAAAUCGAUUCUGUAGGUCGGCAUGAUUUGCACGUGCAUCAAUCGAGCUAUAAACGUGCGUGCGAGUAAAAACCCGAUAUUUUGAAAAAUUCAAAAUAAAUAUUCCUACUCUGUGCCGUAUUCAAACGAAACUUUGUACAUGAAAGCGCUUGAAUACAAAAUGUAUUUUAUUCACAUUGACUCUGAGCAAAUUCUGAAGAGUUAAUCAAUAGACCUUAAUGUUUGACCCAAUGGCUUCAUUUUCAUGUUGGCUAUUUACUCGUAUUCCGUGCACACAAUUUAAGAAUGAGUUUGUGAACGGGCUUAAAUGAUAAACGAGAAGGAAACAUUGGGGAUAAUAUAACCGAGAAUUGUCUAGAAGUAUAAAUUUUUGCAUUCAGUUCAUACGCCAUAAAGGCAGCACUUUCCUUGCAAUAGUAACUCCUAGUACUAGAUUUGCACCAUUAAGACCGAAAAGUCCAUAAAAUUUGCUUGCGGUUUAAGAUUUGUAUUCCUGCCUUUUGCACCAUAGCACGUAUCUCGUUAUUUUCAGGCCAGUGUGAACGCCUGAGCAUGCAGGCGUCUUGUUAAAUAUAAAAGGCGUUCUCCUUCUCCCAAGCCAUCCAGCUAGGACUAUAUAUAAUAGGCAUUCUCCUUUUCCUAAGGAGCAUUCUCCUAUUCUCAAUAUAUAACAUGGCAUUCUCCUUUUCCCAAGCCAUCCGGCUAGGACUAUAUAUAAUAGGCAUUCUCCUUUUCCUAAGGAGCAUUCUCCUAUUCUCAAUAUAUAACAUAGCAUUCUCCUUUUCCUAAGCCAUCCGGCUAGGACUAUAUAUAAUAGGCAUUCUCCUUUUCCUAAGGAGCAUUCUCCUAUUCUCAAUAUAUAACAUGGCAUUCUCCUUUUCCUAAGCCAUCCGGCUAGGACUUCACGCCACAACCGCCAAAUGUAACAGUUUGACACAAGUAUAUUUAUGUAUUAACUAAGUACACACUAACAACAACAGACACUCCUACAGUAUCAUGCAUUAACAGGAAUUCAUGCGCCAAAAUAAAAAUUAAUUUGAAAUAACCGACACACUUAAGAACAGUGACUACGAGAAAUGAAACGAAAAUCUAUGAGAUACACUGUCCAUGCACGAGCUGGAACCAACAAGGGACUUAUGAUUAUGGCUAUGCAUUAGAACUUAGUUACCAACUAAUUCAAUGUAAUCCUUUAUGUAAACUGAAAAACGGGAAAUAAGAAAAGGGCAGAAGGCCAUUAAGGCACGACAAAAGUGGCUUUACAACUGUGAAAUAAACGCUAACACCCGAUAAAACACGAGGGACCGGGAUUACUAAAAUGGCAUUUGCCCCCUCCCAUGAGAGAAAGAAUGCAUCUACCCCCGCAGAACCUGGGUUCCAAAAUCUUGAAUUGAAUUUUUGCACUCUGCAAUUGUAACAGUCAGCAAAACAACUUACGGUGGGCCAAACCUUGCCUCUAACAACGUAAACAAGCUCUAAAGAUCCUUGUCAAAUUUAACAAUACGUUCACUAAUAAUACUAAUGGUGCCAGUUUGCCCAUUCCAGUUUAAUCCGAACGAGGUAAGGUAUUUUGUGUGGGCUGCCAUACGCAUUUCUCCCUGAAUUGCUUGUACAAGUUUGUAUGUCUCUGUCGAUGUCAAACCCAUCGUCUAAAUAAAUAUAUCCAUUAUUUAUUUCCUGAGUCUACUGAGAGCGCUAAUGUGUAACUAUAGGCCGUAACAGUUUUUGUGGCUAGCCCGUUUGCGGGCUAGCCACUAUCACAUACACAUACACAAACGCGAUGAGCGAUGAUGAUCAUGGUGUCCAGUCCGGAUUUUCGUAAAGUAUCGGGAGCAAUCGGAAGCGCUCGUAUUUUUCUGCCGACAUUUCACAUUUGCAUUUCGAGGCAAUACUAGUGAUGUUGUUACGACGCAGUACUAAUGAGGUUGUUAAACCAGAAAAUUAAAAUAAAGUUUAUCUUCAUGGCUUCAACCUAUGGUGUCGAAACCGAUCAGAAAUUGCGCGUACUCGCCGUGUAAAUAUGGGUUUUGAUUUGCACUUUUGACUGUUUUGCCAUCUUGAAUUGUCUUCUUGUUGAGAUUUCAUAUCUCAAUUGCAUUCGAAAUGUUUGGUAUUUUAAAGAAGGGAUAUUGUGUGGAGGAGGUUUAUAAUGCAGCGAAUAAAACCAGCAUUGGAUAAUUAUGGUAAAAAAGACCAGAAACUGUGCAUCGAACUCGUUUAUUUAAAGGCUUUAAGUAUACCUUUUCUUCAGACAUUGACGGCGUCUCAAAUGUCUAUAUAUUUGUAAUAAACCUAUAAAGGAUUAUUGCGUCUGUCUGCCUUAGGAGUUAUAUAGUCGAAUAAUUCAGCAUGAUUUGUCUCACGUUCUCUUAUAAGUUGACUAAUAUUGCAUUAAAAGUGGUAAAAGUUGGCGUGCUAACCAAGAUUCCAGUGUAUUUGUUUGCUGAUAUUGCUAGGCCUAUAUCUCAAACGCUAUUUGCCUAUUAAAAUAUCAUAUGACACGCAAUUUUAAUUCCACGGCAAAACUGCUGUUGCGCAAAUAACAAACGCGAGAUUAAAUAUAUAUGGCAGUAUUACAGUUUAGUAAUAUUGCAUUAAAAGUGGUAAAAGUUGGUGUGCUAACCAAGAUUUCAGUGUAUUUGUUUGCUAAUGUUGCUAUAUCUCAAACGCUAUUUGACUAUUAAAAAUAUCAUAUGACACGCAAUUUUAAUUCCACGGCAAAACUGCUGCUGCGCAAAUAACAAACGCGAGAUUAAAUAUAUGGCAGUAUUACAGUUUAGGUAUCUUUUAAAUUGCUAAUAGAUCACACGGAAACUUUUUACAAUCGUUAUAUUCAAAAGCCUAGCGUGCAAAUUCACAUAUUUGUGUUUAUUCAAGUGUUAUUCAUGAAUUCGCUAUUUACAUGGGAAGCGACGAGAUAUGACACGGUAUUUUUCAAGUAUACCGUGAAACUCCACUGACAAAAUGAGCCCGCACAAGUGGGAGAAAAUUUGCGCAUUCUGACCAUCGUGGUGUGUCUUCUUAUUACUAUUAAAGUUAACCAGCAUGGCAGGCUUUCUGGGUUUGGAGGAGGGUUUGGGGAGUUAAAGUUUACCAGGCUAGCCACAUGUACGCAUUGCGUACCUAUUUUUUUGAAUAUAUAGGGAGCUGUUGUCAGCCAAAAUGGCAGGACAGCAUGAGAAUCCGCACGAUGUGUGAAAAGAUUAGCGUUUCUGGUGUUGGUAACCAUAGUUUUGUGUCAAAGUUGAUGAACUGAUGACAUAUAUUAAUUAUCCAACCCAGUGAGCUCCAUAUAUAUCUGGAGUAAGAACUCAGUCAUUCGGUCAAUGAGAAAAGUGAAGCCAAGUGAAACCAAGAUGGCGGCCAUUGACGUCCAAUAGCUCUGAAGGUCGUAAACAGUUUUUAUACCAUUUUCCCCAGCUAAUUCCAGUUUUUUCUAAUGGACCAUAUCACUAAUCAAGUUUUC
RNAcentral lists this long non-coding RNA (5963 nucleotides) under Paramuricea clavata. Lineage: Eukaryota; Metazoa; Cnidaria; Anthozoa; Malacalcyonacea; Plexauridae. The record is from RNAcentral.